This 425-nucleotide ribosomal RNA is filed under the name uncultured bacterium. RNAcentral describes it as "partial 16S ribosomal RNA". It matches the Rfam family "Bacterial small subunit ribosomal RNA", at positions 354 to 796 of the family's 1533-position model. The record is from RNAcentral.
GUGGGGAAUCUUGCGCAAUGGGCGAAAGCCUGACGCAGCCAUGCCGCGUGAAUGAUGAAGGUCUUAGGAUUGUAAAAUUCUUUCACCGGGGACGAUAAUGACGGUACCCGGAGAAGAAGCUCCGGCUAACUUCGUGCCAGCAGCCGCGGUAAUACGAAGGGGGCUAGCGUUGCUCGGAAUUACUGGGCGUAAAGGGCGCGUAGGCGGACAGUUUAGUCAGAGGUGAAAGCACAGGGCUCAACCUUGGAAUUGCCUUUGAUACUGGCUGUCUUGAGUACUGGAGAGGUGAGUGGAUCUCCGAGUGUAGAGGUGAAAUUCGUAGAUAUUCGGAAGAACACCAGUGGCGAAGGCGACUCACUGGCCCGUUACUGACGCUGAGGUGCGAAAGCGUGGGGAGCAAACAGGAUUAGAAACCCCAGUAGUCC